RNAcentral lists this long non-coding RNA (552 nucleotides) under Phoenix dactylifera (date palm). RNAcentral describes it as "long non-coding RNA (PDAC_LNC006912)". Lineage: Eukaryota; Viridiplantae; Streptophyta; Magnoliopsida; Arecales; Arecaceae. The record is from RNAcentral.
UAAGGUUGUGGUUGGUGAACCGGAAAAAACCAACUGGGUUUGAUUGUGAACCCGGAAAAACAAUCGGUUGGUUCUAGUCGGUGAGCCUGUGAAAACCGACUGAGUUUGUUGUGAUCUCACGAAAACAACAAGUUGGGUUGUGAGCUUAUAAAACAACCGGCUGUAAUCUGAGGGAUUAUAGUGAAAUUCUCAAGAGAUCUUGGGGAGUGGAUGUAGGUGCUGGGGUGCACCGAACCACUAUACAUCUUUGUGUUUGUGAUGCCUUAUCUCUUGUAUUUCAUGCCUUACAUUCAUACUUGAUUGUGUAAUAUCUCUAGCUUUGUUUUCUAUAGAGUUAUAAGUGAUUGUUUAGAAUUUACUUAGCUUCCACUCCAUUCUUACCAUACACAUAGAUUAAAAUUGAUCAUACAACUAUAAGGUAAUUUUAGAUCAAUUGCACCCUAAAGCCAUAGUAUAAUUGCUCUAGCUUAAUUUUCCACUGCUUUACUUGUAAUUGCCUAGAGCUUAAGUAAAUAACAUCUUAUCAUUCCGCUGCAUUCAAUUCAAAGUAAA